Dermacentor silvarum is the source of this 344-nucleotide long non-coding RNA. RefSeq lists it as uncharacterized. Lineage: Eukaryota; Metazoa; Arthropoda; Arachnida; Ixodida; Ixodidae. The record is from RefSeq and is a predicted model, not a curated record. The transcript has 2 exons.
UUCGGCGCAGGCACUGGUUUGGCAAGAUGGCGCGCGGCAAUGAUGAACCGAAAGAAGCUCUGAAAGAUAAUAACGUCGACACCAGUGGACCUAGACGAUAUCGAUGAGAUUUGUGAUGAGGAGUGUGAGGCUCUCAGCCAAGCGAUGGAUAGAAUCAACGCAUGCCUGGAUGCUCUGGAGAGAAAGAACAACGCUUUAGUUCGUCAAAUGCGCCAACUGCUCGAGGAAUCGAAGCGAGCUGACAGCGGCCCGUCUGCGAGUGACGCUGCGGCGAAUGAAGAAACUGAGCAAGUUUAGCAAAAAAACAAAGUCGACAAGUUUCGCAGUCUUGCGAGGUCACCUGC